GCCGGAGUAGCUCAGCUGGUAGAGCACCGGUUUUGUAAACCGGGCGUCGCGGGUUCGAGUCCCGCCUCCGGCU
RNAcentral lists this transfer RNA (73 nucleotides) under Gaiellaceae bacterium. RNAcentral's name for it is "tRNA-Thr". It matches the Rfam family "tRNA". Rfam says of the family: Transfer RNA (tRNA) molecules are approximately 80 nucleotides in length. Their secondary structure includes four short double-helical elements and three loops (D, anti-codon, and T loops). Lineage: Bacteria; Bacillati; Actinomycetota; Thermoleophilia; Gaiellales; Gaiellaceae. The record is from RNAcentral. RNAcentral also lists the same sequence under 1 other name.